UGGACUACUCGGACUCUAUCCUGUGAACUAAGCUGAUAAAUCUCUAUACAAAUAUAUUCAUUCUACUGGUUCUCCUUCUUUGGAGAACCCUGACUAAUACAGGCAUGGAGCCAUUGAAAGGCUGCUCAGGGUGGACCAUUAUAUGCUGCUUCAAGACUUGGUGGACCUGCCCCUUCAGCAACUUUUCUUGAUUACCUGACAACCUUGCCAGAGCAUGAAGUCCUGUUUCCCAGCAAGCAGCAACAAAUCCCUAAUGUCAUCUUAUUCUACAGUGCCCGUGGUUAGCACCUUUGACUCCCUAUCGCUUGGUGCAUGUGACUGCAGCAGCAUGCUUUUCCAAUGUCUUCCGUAAGUGUCAGCCAUCUCCUCUCUUACCAGAUGCAGCCUUCUUCAUUCUAUCCUGGACCUUCAUUUUGGGUAGGGCUUUCCAGCUUCUUCUCUGAUCUCACCUUGCCUAAACUAUCCUGCCCUUUGCAUUGCAAGUCUAACAUACAACUGUGAUGAUUGCUCAUCUCCAAGAGAUAAUGAGGGCGUCUCCGACAAGGGAGGCCACUGGAGAAAGGAAUUGUGGGACGUUUUCCUCCCUCGAGCAGGUUGGAUACACUGUCUUAUGAGAAAGGGAGGCAGUUCUGUGCCUUCACAUUCUGGGACUGUGAUAUUCACAGGCCUCCUCACAGGGAUUCGACCUUGACACUACAGGCUUGCCUGCCUUCAUUAUUACCCCUGGCUGACUUUGUGCUUCAAAUGCCUUAUGGAGGCUGGUUGCAAUUUAGCAUCUGAUGCUGGCCCAACAAGGAGAUGGAAACCAUGUGGUCAGACCCAGUGAGAUGCAGGACACCAUACAGCUGAGAUGACCUGUAGGAAUGCAAUGCUGAAAGGAGCAAAUACUAGUCAGAUUCAGCAUUUCCAGGAGCUUGUGAUCCCAGACAUCCACAGAAUGAGGGAAGAAUGCAAUGAAUGACGAGAGAAACGCAGACAUCACAAGUCUCAGAAAGGUGGCUGAACACCUGACCAGAGGGUAGGACUGAGCUCUGGAAUCACUGACUGCCUCUUUCAGCACCCUGUUCUCCCCAUGUAAACGGAUGGCUGGAAAUGUGAUGGAAGGCAUAUGUCUGGGCUAUCCAUCUGGUGUCUCCUCAGACUCUCAGCACUCCGCAUAAAGCACAACUUCAAUUCCUGUCUCUUCCAUUGGCCUUUGAGAUGUUGCCCACUAGAACUAGAUGAGAAGAGCCUACCUCUGAAGAAAUCGCACACAAUGUAUGUGUGACAUAGAGAAAUGAAGCUGGACCUGAGAUGGAGGCUUCCUCUUUCCUGACUAGCUUUCGCAGUUCCAGAAGGUGCUAUCCAGGAGAAAAAUGCAUGAAGGACUCACUCAUCUGUUCAUCCUAGAAUCGACAAGAUCACCCUGCUAGGCGAGAUGUACCCACUUUUCCAAUAGCACUCAGAUUGGCUUUGAUACACAAUCCACCAUAGGGAUUCCAAGCCUACUGUUGUAAACCUGGCCAAAGCUCUUCAACAGGGAAGGACCGAGGCCUAUCAAGUAACUAAAUACUGUUGUUCAGUGAGCAGUGAUGAAUGCAGAAAUUCAUGACUAUAGAAGAUGCUGAGAAUAUGUGAUGGAUGACUACUCAGCCCUAAACAAGACAUUUACACUAUCAUCUAAGGCUCGGGGAACAUUGCAGAAAUGGACAGAAAGAAUGCAAGAGUCAAAAGAUAGGGAAGAAAGCUGAGAAAAAGUCAUCUUUGAGGGCAAGAAACAGCUAUUGCAGUCUUCAAGUCCUGGCAGUUGCAGAUGCCUGCACUGGAUCUGCAUAGGAAUGGGCCCAAGGACAGUUGGGCAUGGAUGGAGGCAGGGCUCAGCCACAUCUGCUCCUCACUGCUGAACUGUUUGUGACUGAUAGAUCCAGUAGCUUUUCAACUGUUACUUAUCACCUGUCACUUCAUUGCCUGGGCCUGAAUUUUAUACUUCCCUAUCAAUUCUUAAAUGUAAUGUUCAUUUAAUGGUUUAUGAAUAUUUUCUUUCAUCUUGAAUAAAUAAAUUCAGGUGGUUAU
Molecule: long non-coding RNA, 2052 nt
Organism: Nannospalax galili (Upper Galilee mountains blind mole rat)
Lineage: Eukaryota; Metazoa; Chordata; Mammalia; Rodentia; Spalacidae
Exons: 4
Source: RefSeq, a predicted model, not a curated record